Mytilus californianus (California mussel) is the source of this 534-nucleotide long non-coding RNA. RefSeq lists it as uncharacterized. The record is from RefSeq and is a predicted model, not a curated record. NCBI's taxonomy places the organism in Eukaryota, Metazoa, Mollusca, Bivalvia, Mytilida, Mytilidae. The transcript is spliced from 2 exons.
AUGAAACAGUUGGUAAAAUCAACCUCUAUCAAAGUAGAUGUCAAAUUUGAUGCAAAGAAAUAUUAACGGUCCAAUCGAAUGCCGUUAUUUAUAUAUAUUUUCCAGAAAGUACGACCCGACUAUAAAAGCAUAUGACUGAUUGAUCUACGUCGCACUGCGCCAGUUGGCACACUAACUUUUUUACAAAGCAACAGAAAUCUCUCAUCACUUUUUUGACCGGAAACAUAAAUCGGAAGAAAAAUGUCUGGAAAAGGUCAAGGCCAAGCUAGUAACGACAACAAGUCUGACCAGUAUAAUCCAACCAGCACUAAAUAUGAAGGACAUCAGUCUGGUUAUACUGGAACCGGAACUAAGCCCGACCAGGACAACCACUCCAACCAACUGAAUCCAAACAAUCAGGUAUUUAAGGGAUCGAAAUAACAAUGAAUAUUUAAAGCACGUAUUAUUAUAUAUAUAUAUAUAUGUGUGUGUGUGCGUGUGUGCGAGACAUUUACUGUAUGAACAAAAUGAACAAUUAAAUUAUUUAAAAUUAAA